RNAcentral lists this unclassified non-coding RNA (257 nucleotides) under Hevea brasiliensis (rubber tree). Lineage: Eukaryota; Viridiplantae; Streptophyta; Magnoliopsida; Malpighiales; Euphorbiaceae. The record is from RNAcentral.
AGAAAAGGGUAGUUGAUUUUGAUGAGUUAUUCUCUCCAGUUGUGAAGAUGUCAUCCAUUCAUGUGGUUCUAGGCUUGGCUGCAAGUCUAGAUUUAGAGGUUGAACAAAUGGAUGUUAAAACUGCUUUCCUCCAUGGUGACUUAGAUGAAGAAAUUUAUAUGGAGCAACCGGAAGGUUUUGAAGUCAAGGGUAACGAGAAUUAUGUUUGCAAAUUGAAGAAGAGCUUGUAUGGUUUGAAACAAGCUCCCAGGCAGUGG